RNAcentral lists this microRNA precursor (124 nucleotides) under Brassica oleracea var. oleracea. RNAcentral describes it as "MIR9563 microRNA precursor family". It matches the Rfam family "MIR9563 microRNA precursor family". Lineage: Eukaryota; Viridiplantae; Streptophyta; Magnoliopsida; Brassicales; Brassicaceae. The record is from Rfam by way of RNAcentral.
GAAAUAUAAGAACCCGUCUUUUAACUUUUAACUAAAAAAGUUAAGAACUGGUUUUUAAAUAAGAGUUUUAAGAACCGGUUCUUAAUUUUUUAGUUAAAAGUUAAGAGACGGAUUCUUAUAUUCC